Molecule: long non-coding RNA, 1053 nt
Filed under: Sus scrofa (pig)
Lineage: Eukaryota; Metazoa; Chordata; Mammalia; Artiodactyla; Suidae
Description: lncRNA (ENSSSCG00070017700.1)
Source: RNAcentral
GCCAGAUCCUUGACCCACUGAGCGAGGCCAGGGACUGAACCCACAUCCUCAUGGAUACUAGUCAGGCUCUAGAUACUAGAUAAUAGAUUCUAGAUACUAGAUACUAGUACACUGAACCACAGUGGGAACACCGAGGUUCCUUUCUUGUGUAAAAUGAGCAGAUACACUUUCUCUUAUAAACUGAGGGUAUCUUGUCAUGUUUUCCAGGCCGUGAUAACUGUAGAUGAGCGGUGGACGCAUCCAUGGCCCAACAAGAGCAAGACGGUGAAGGGCUCAAAGCCUGUGGCUUAGACGUCUCCGUGGUUGUGGACCCGGUAACGGCGGCCACUGCCAUCGCCUACACAUCAAGGAACCCCAUCCAGCAAUGUGACAACGAAGACCACCUGCUGUGCCUGCCCCCAGGUGACACCACUGGAAACAGGGGCCUUGCUGUCUCUGAGGACCAGCAGGAGUUCCGGAAAGGAAGGGAACCAUGAGAUAAGCUAUUUUCCCUUCCUCCGCCUGAGCGGCCUGCUCCUGGGCACAGGACUUUAUAUCUCUGCGCAGAAGACACCUGCGAGGCCAGGCUGAAGGGUGGGCGCCGUGGCAAGCUUGCCCGCACCCUGUGUUUGCCGUCCUGGCUCCCCGUCCCCUCAGUCAUCAAAUAUCCCCUGUAAGCUUCGCCUCUUGUUCUUUUUCUGGGGAACGUGGGCUAAGACAGUGCUUGUACAUGUUUCUCUGUAUUUAUGCUUAGCUCUGUAGACUAAAUUCGGAGAAGUGUUAACACUCUCUAAAAUAAGGCCAUACAAAUUUUUUUUAAAAGCAAGUUCCCUGGGAGUCUAGUGGUUAGUACCUGGUGCUUUCACUGCCAUGGUUCAAUCCCUGGUCUAGGAACUGAGAUCCCACAUCAAGCUGCCAUACUCUGUGGCUAAAAAAGAAAAGAAAAAGAAAGAAAAUAAGGCCCUUUUUUUCAACUUGUCAAUAAUUGUAUAUUUGGUAUUCUGAUUUUAAAGUAAUAUAUGUUUAUGGCAUUUUACAAAAUAAAGUAAAAGUUAUAUUAACGUUAUCGGUACA